GUUAUAACCGGCGAUACCCGAAUGGGGAAACCCAGUGUGAUUGGUCACACUAUCAUUAACUGAAUCCAUAGGUUAAUGAGGCGAACCGGGGGAACUGAAACAUCUAAGUACCCCGAGGAAAAGAAAUCAACCGAGAUUCCCCCAGUAGCGGCGAGCGAACGGGGAGGAGCCCAGAGCCUGAAUCAGCAUGUGUGUUAGUGGAAGCGUCUGGAAAGGCGCGCGAUACAGGGUGACAGCCCCGUACACAAAAGCGCAUGUGCUGUGAGCUCGAUGAGUAGGGCGGGACACGUGGUAUCCUGUCUGAAUAUGGGGGGACCAUCCUCCAAGGCUAAAUACUCCUGACUGACCGAUAGUGAACCAGUACCGUGAGGGAAAGGCGAAAAGAACCCCGGCGAGGGGAGUGAAAAAGAACCUGAAACCGUGUACGUACAAGCAGUGGGAGCACCCUUCGGGGUGUGACUGCGUACCUUUUGUAUAAUGGGUCAGCGACUUAUAUUCUGUAGCAAGGUUAACCGAAUAGGGGAGCCGGAGGGAAACCGAGUCUUAAUUGGGCGUUAAGUUGCAGGGUAUAGACCCGAAACCCGGUGAUCUAGCCAUGGGCAGGUUGAAGGUUGGGUAACACUAACUGGAGGACCGAACCGACUAAUGUUGAAAAAUUAGCGGAUGACCUGUGGCUGGGGGUGAAAGGCCAAUCAAACCGGGAGAUAGCUGGUUCUCCCCGAAAGCUAUUUAGGUAGCGCCUCGUGAAUUCAUCUCCGGGGGUAGAGCACUGUUUCGGCUAGGGGGCCAUCCCGGCUUACCAACCCGAUGCAAACUGCGAAUACCGGAGAAUGUUAUCACGGGAGACACACGGCGGGUGCUAACGUCCGUCGUGAAGAGGGAAACAACCCAGACCGCCAGCUAAGGUCCCAAAGUCAUGGUUAAGUGGGAAACGAUGUGGGAAGGCCCAGACAGCCAGGAUGUUGGCUUAGAAGCAGCCAUCAUUUAAAGAAAGCGUAAUAGCUCACUGGUCGAGUCGGCCUGCGCGGAAGAUGUAACGGGGCUAAACCAUGCACCGAAGCUGCGGCAGCGAACGUAUCACCCAAGACAACUUUACGGAGUUGACGAUUGACGGAGCGAAGCGACGUCAAAGCGUUCAUUAAAGUCGAGUUGGCUUAGGGAUACGUUCGUUGGGUAGGGGAGCGUUCUGUAAGCCUGUGAAGGUGUGUCGUGAGGCAUGCUGGAGGUAUCAGAAGUGCGAAUGCUGACAUAAGUAACGAUAAAGCGGGUGAAAAGCCCGCUCGCCGGAAGACCAAGGGUUCCUGUCCAACGUUAAUCGGGGCAGGGUGAGUCGACCCCUAAGGCGAGGCCGAAAGGCGUAGUCGAUGGGAAACGGGUUAAUAUUCCCGUACUUGGUGUUACUGCGAAGGGGGGACGGAGAAGGCUAUGUUGGCCGGGCGACGGUUGUCCCGGUUUAAGCGUGUAGGUGUGUGUUCCAGGUAAAUCCGGUUCACUUUAACACUGAGGCGUGACGACGAGGCACUACGGUGCUGAAGCAACAAAUGCCCUGCUUCCAGGAAAAGCCUCUAAGCAUCAGGU
RNAcentral lists this ribosomal RNA (1578 nucleotides) under Salmonella enterica subsp. enterica serovar Typhimurium. RNAcentral's name for it is "partial 23S ribosomal RNA". It matches the Rfam family "Bacterial large subunit ribosomal RNA", at positions 97 to 1632 of the family's 2925-position model. Lineage: Bacteria; Pseudomonadati; Pseudomonadota; Gammaproteobacteria; Enterobacterales; Enterobacteriaceae. The record is from RNAcentral.